RNAcentral lists this ribosomal RNA (428 nucleotides) under Candidatus Omnitrophota bacterium. Its description in RNAcentral is "Candidatus Omnitrophica bacterium partial 23S ribosomal RNA". It matches the Rfam family "Bacterial large subunit ribosomal RNA", at positions 2516 to 2925 of the family's 2925-position model. The record is from RNAcentral. Lineage: Bacteria; Pseudomonadati; Candidatus Omnitrophota.
AAUUGACCCCUCAGAGACUAUACGCCAGUCAUCUGAAAAAGAUGAAGAUAUAGUCCGAGCUGCGUAGCGAUACGCAGAGAUUGGCAGAAAUGUCCAAUCCUCCCGCUAGCAGCGGGAAGUAACAAAACUGUCGGUCUCUAUCUGCCAUGGGCGCAGGAAAUCUGCGAGGAUACUUCCUCAGUACGAGAGGACCAGGAAGUACGUGCCACUGGUGCUCCAGUUAUCGCGCCAGCGGUAAAAGCUGGGUAGCUAUGCACGGAAAGGAUAAGCGCUGAAGGCAUAUAAGCGCCAAGCCCCCCUCAAGACUAGAUUUCCCUCCCCGCAAGGGGACUAAGACACCUUGAAGACUACAAGGUUGAUAGGCCAGAUGUGUAAGACCCGCGAGGGUUUGAGCUUACUGGUACUAAUCUGUCGAAAGGCUUGACCAU